Molecule: ribosomal RNA, 1433 nt
Filed under: metagenome
Description: bacterial SSU rRNA
Rfam family: Archaeal small subunit ribosomal RNA
Source: RNAcentral
UCCCGUUGAUCCUGCGGGAGGUUGCUGCUAUUGGGAUUCGACUUAGCCAUGCAAGUCCAGGGGUCGCAAGACACCGGCAGAAUGCUCAGUAACACGUCGAUAAUCUGUCCUCAGGUCAGGAAUAACCUUGGGAAACUGAGGCUAAUGCCUGAUGGGAGAAUUCUUCUGGAAUGAUGUUUCUCUGAAAGAUUACGCCUGAGGGUGAGUCGGCGGCGGAUUAGGCUGUUGGUGGGGUAAUGGCCCACCAAACCCAAGAUCCGUAGGGGCCUUGAGAGAGGUAGCCCCGAGAAGGACACUGAGAUACUGGUCCUAACCCCACGGGGUGCAGCAGGCGCGAAACCUUUACACUGCACGAAAGUGUGAUAAGGGAAUCCCAAGUGCUUAUGCAAUGCAUAGGCUUUUGCCAAGAGUAAAUAUCUUGGCGAAUAAGCGGUGGGAAAGACUGGUGCCAGCCGCCGCGGUAACACCAGCGCCGCAAGUGGGAACCACAAUUAUUGGGCCUAAAGCGUCCGUAGCCGGCCUGAAAAAUCAUUUGUGAAAUCGUUCGGCCUAACCGAACGGCGCGCAGAUGACACUCUUAGGCUCGGAACCGGGAGGAGUCAGAGGUAUUCUUGGGGGAGCGGUAAAAUGCUAUAAUCCCUUGAAGACCGCCAGUGGCGAAGGCGUCUGACUAGAACGGAUUCGACGGUGAGGGACGAAAGCCAGGGGAGCGAACCGGAUUAGAUACCCGAGUAGUCCUGGCCGUAAACGCUGUGAGCAAGGUGUUGCAUAUUCUUCAUGAAUAUGCAGUGUUGAAACGAAGGUGUUAAGCUCACCGCCUGGGAAGUAUGGUCGCAAGACUGAAACUUAAAGGAAUUGGCGGGGGAGCACCACAAGGGGUGCGGCGUGCGGUUUAAUCUAACUCAACGCAGAAAAUCUCACCAGGGGCGACGGCAGGAUGAGAGUCAGGCUGAAGACCUUACUCGACGAGCCGAGAGGUAGUGCAUGGCCGCCGUCAGCUCGUGCCGUGAGGUGUCCUCUUAAGUGAGGCAACGAGCGAGACCUGUACCUACAAUUGCUAGCGAGCUCAUCGAGUGAUCGAGCACAUUGUAGGGACUGCCUUGGAAACAAGGAGGAAGGUGCAGGCUACGGUAGGUCUGUAUGCUCCGAAUCCUCUGGGCUACACGCGCGCAACAAUGGUAGGGACAAUGGGAUACGACUCCGAAAGGAGAAGUUAAACCUCGAAACCCUAUCCAAGUCCAGAUUGAGGGCUGAAACUCGCCCUCAUGACGUCGGAAUCCCUAGUAAUCGAAGUUCAACAUACUUCGGUGAAUGUGUCCCUGCUCCUUGCACACACCGCCCGUCAAACCAACCGAGCAGGGUUUAGAUGAGUCUUGCUUUCUUGAGUAAGCCGAAUCUAAGCUCAGUAAGGUGGGUUAAGUCGUCACAAGGUA